UUCGUUCCGAGCGCUCCCGCUGCGAUCACGGCGUUACGCUCGUCCGUCGUCAUCCCAGCGGGUCGCUCGCGAAUGCGCAUCGGGCGCGGGGCUUCACAGCGAACACUCACCUUUGGCAAAGCCGAGGACGAAGGCUGGGAUGUUCGCUCGUGCAGAGUCGACAUGCAACCGGCAGGGUUGACUGUCGCAGUCCGUCAUCGCCACCGGCCUCUCCCGAGGUUGUUGACCUCUGGGUGCCACUUCAAUGUCCCCUCUGGGAUAAAGAUUCCAGGCGUCUUGCGGGGACGCCGUGCCACCGUUUGGUUCCGGGCCGGAAAAAUAUCCAGCGGAAAACCACCAGUACCGCGAAGGAGCCCGCGCUGGCAUGGCUCGGAUGUGCCAGAGUGGAAAAUGUUUUUUGUUGUUGUUGUUGUUGUCAUUAUAAUCAGGGGCGGA
Molecule: long non-coding RNA, 435 nt
Organism: Petromyzon marinus (sea lamprey)
Lineage: Eukaryota; Metazoa; Chordata; Hyperoartia; Petromyzontiformes; Petromyzontidae
Source: RefSeq, a predicted model, not a curated record